This 192-nucleotide ribosomal RNA is filed under the name Florenciella parvula. RNAcentral describes it as "partial Bacterial large subunit ribosomal RNA". It matches the Rfam family "Bacterial large subunit ribosomal RNA", at positions 891 to 1080 of the family's 2925-position model. Lineage: Eukaryota; Dictyochophyceae; Florenciellales. The record is from RNAcentral.
CACUCUUGGGGGUAGAGCACUGUUUGGGCUAGGGGGUCAUCCCGACUUACCAACCCCAUGCAAACUCCGAAUACCGGUGAGUGCAAUCGAGGCAGACAGACGGCGGGUGCUAACGUCCGUCGUGAAAAGGGAAACAACCCAGACCGUCAGCUAAGGUCCCAAAGUUAUGGUUAAGUGGGAAACGAUGUGGGA